Long non-coding RNA from Halichondria panicea, 856 nucleotides. RefSeq lists it as uncharacterized. The transcript has 5 exons. NCBI's taxonomy places the organism in Eukaryota, Metazoa, Porifera, Demospongiae, Suberitida, Halichondriidae. The record is from RefSeq and is a predicted model, not a curated record.
AAAAUAUUGCUGAAUCAGCAAACAACGUGCUUUUGAGAACUAGAGUCAAGACCAGAGUUAAUUCCAGAACAGUCAAGAAAGUGUAGUCUGUCUCUUUUGAAGCAUGGAGAAAGUGGUCAAACUAUUACCUGUAUUUGGAGGAAGCUUUGUCUAGUCCUAUAGUGGACCACAGUGACAUAGCCAGGACCAUGGAGAGAGACCAUUGCUGAGGAGAUCGAGUUCUUGGCCAAUCAGGAUAUAUGUACUGCCAACAUGUACACUACCUGAGGAUUUGUACCAACCAGGUGAGGUGGACUUUGACCCCAACGAGGAAGGCUUACUAGCGGACCUCCACCUAGCAACCAGCGGUAGCAACACACCCGGAGUGGAUCAGAUCAUUAUAGACAAUAAGAAACUUAUGCUGGAAAAGAGUGAAUUGUCUCUGGAACUGUACCAUCUCCUGGCUCAAGUGAGGGAACUUGAAUUCUUUCAGGAGUGAAUUGUCUCUGGAAAUGGACCAUCUCCUGGCUCAAGUUAGGGAACUUGAAUUAGACAAGGCAACUGUCGAGUCCUCAGCUUCCGCUCUGCAAGCAUAAAAGUCCCCAACCAAGGACCUGAACUUGUUUUGAGACUGUCGCACAUUUUGUCUGUUUUUGUGGUCUAUAUUCUCAUAAUGUAAUAUUUGUACGAACUCGUGCCAUUGAUUAUUUUGUACAAUUUGAUUAACUACACAAUCCUAACAAACAAUGAAAUUCUGUUGCAACAUAUCACGAUUGUCAAUUGUUAUUCAUAUACGUAUGUAUACCGUAUUUACUUGAUUAAACGCCCAUCUCGUUUAAACACCCCAUUGUAGGAAUUAUAUUUUGUCGAUGUAGUU